RNAcentral lists this ribosomal RNA (440 nucleotides) under uncultured bacterium. RNAcentral describes it as "partial 16S ribosomal RNA". It matches the Rfam family "Bacterial small subunit ribosomal RNA", at positions 338 to 795 of the family's 1533-position model. The record is from RNAcentral.
CCUACGGGGGACAGCAGUGGGGGAUCUUGCACAAUGGGGGAAACCCUGAUGCAGCGACGCCGCGUGAGUGAAGAAGUAUUUCGGUAUGUAAAGCUCUAUCAGCAGGGAAGAACAUGACAGUACCUGACUAAGAAGCCCCGGCUAACUACGUGCCAGCAGCCGCGGUAAUACGUAGGGGGCAAGCGUUGGCCGGAUUUACUGGGUGUAAAGGGAGCGUAGGCGGUUAUGUAAGUCUGGAGUGAAAGCCCGGGGCCCAACCGCGGGACUGCAUUGGAAACUGUGUAACUGGAGUGCAGGAGGGGCGGGCGGAAUUCCAGGUGUAGCGGUGAAAUGCGUAGAUAUCAGGAGGAACACCAGCGGCGAAGGCGGCCUGCUGGACUGAAACUGACGUUGAGGCUCGAAAGCGUGGGGAGCAAACAGGAUUAGAUACCCGAGUAGUC